GGUUUGGUCUUUACUGCAGCAUGUAUAUACAUCCAGAAAAUACAGCCGAGCCGCACAAGUUGUAACAAACCUGCAGCAGACUUGUAGCAAUGCUGUUCCAACAACUUGUCAACAGGAUGUGUUCGCACUGCUUGUUCCCAGCUUGUUGACAAGUUGUCAACGGCUUGUUGACAACUUGCUACAAGGUUGUUGAGUUCAACAGACUUGUUACAAGUUGUUCCAACAACUUGUUAUCGUCCUGCAAUUCAACAACUUGUCAACAAGUUGUGAGUGACAAGCUUGUAGCAACUUGAUAAAAUAACAGAUUGUUACAACUUGUUGGCAAGCUUGCUACAAGCCUGUUGCGAACAUAUCUUGUUGACAAGUUGUGAGAUUUUUA
Molecule: non-coding RNA, 379 nt
Organism: Paramuricea clavata
Lineage: Eukaryota; Metazoa; Cnidaria; Anthozoa; Malacalcyonacea; Plexauridae
Source: the annotation of a GenBank genome assembly